Molecule: ribosomal RNA, 274 nt
Filed under: uncultured bacterium
Lineage: Bacteria
Description: partial 16S ribosomal RNA
Rfam family: Bacterial small subunit ribosomal RNA
Source: RNAcentral
AUACGGAGGUUGCAAGCGUUACUCGGAAUCACUGGGCGUAAAGCGCGCGCAGGCGGCUAUUUAAGUUGGAUGUGAAAGCCUACGGCUCAACCGUAGAACUGCAUCCAAAACUAUUUAGCUAGAGUGUGGGAGAGGAAGAUGGAAUUAGUUGUGUAGGGGUAAAAUCCGUAGAGAUAACUAGGAAUACCAAAAGCGAAGGCAAUCUUCUGGAACACUACUGACGCUGAGGCGUGAAAGCGUGGGGAGCAAACAGGAGUAGAUACCCUAGUAGUCC